Molecule: transfer RNA, 73 nt
Filed under: Candidatus Woesearchaeota archaeon
Lineage: Archaea; Nanobdellati; Candidatus Woesearchaeota
Description: tRNA-Thr
Rfam family: tRNA
About the family: Transfer RNA (tRNA) molecules are approximately 80 nucleotides in length. Their secondary structure includes four short double-helical elements and three loops (D, anti-codon, and T loops). Further hydrogen bonds mediate the characteristic L-shaped molecular structure. tRNAs have two regions of fundamental functional importance: the anti-codon, which is responsible for specific mRNA codon recognition, and the 3' end, to which the tRNAs corresponding amino acid is attached (by aminoacyl-tRNA synthetases). tRNAs cope with the degeneracy of the genetic code in two manners: having more than one tRNA (with a specific anti-codon) for a particular amino acid; and 'wobble' base-pairing, i.e. permitting non-standard base-pairing at the 3rd anti-codon position.
Source: RNAcentral
GCCUCUGUAGCUCAGCUGGUAGAGCAGCGCUCUCGUAAAGCGCAGGUCGCCGGUUCGAAUCCGGCCAGAGGCU